UAAUGCGAUAAUACGCAUGACGGUUCAUUUUUGCCGUGUGUGGUCACGGUAAAACUUAAGAAUCGUCCA
Molecule: ribosomal RNA, 69 nt
Filed under: Polytomella magna
Lineage: Eukaryota; Viridiplantae; Chlorophyta; Chlorophyceae; Chlamydomonadales; Chlamydomonadaceae
Description: mt-5S from Polytomella magna (PDB 8A22, chain A9)
Source: RNAcentral